Long non-coding RNA from Cucurbita moschata (crookneck pumpkin), 643 nucleotides. RefSeq lists it as uncharacterized. NCBI's taxonomy places the organism in Eukaryota, Viridiplantae, Streptophyta, Magnoliopsida, Cucurbitales, Cucurbitaceae. The record is from RefSeq and is a predicted model, not a curated record. The transcript is spliced from 2 exons.
UCUCAAACUCUCAACAAAGAAAUCCCCAAAUCAAUGAGCAAUUACAGAAGCAGAACCACCGCAGAUUCAAUUCUCGAUUCUCUCUCCCUCAAUCCUCUGCCGUAUCCCGUCCUCCUCCUCCUCGCCGUCGUCUUCAUCUUUCUCGGCGCCUCCUGGUGGCUCUCCUACGAGUCCGCCGUUGAGGCCGCUGAGGAUCAAAUCAACUGGAUUCUCUUCGCUACGCCGGUCCUCCUCAUCAUCCUUGCCCGAAUCCUCUCCUCCGUCGAUCCGAGCUACUUUUCUUCCUCGCCUUGGGACCGCCGCCGCAGAACGCACCACCUCCCUGCCGAGGGAAGUUCGCCGUGGGGCGUCGCUGCGUUGAUCGUGCUGCUGCUUGUUCUCGUGCAGUUCCAGUCCUCGUUCCGUGAGAGCUGGUCCAUAUAGAAACCUUAUGUAUAUAGAAAUGGCGUACGCGACCGCUCCUCUGCAGUGGAGCGCGCUGCGGUUGAUUUGAUUUCAAAAAAGUGCUUGAAUGAAGAUGAAGAUGAAGAUGAACUGUUUUUGUUUAUCAAAUAAAUAUAAAUACUCGUAGAUUUUCAUUCCUGUAAUUUGUGCAUCACUUUGUAGCUCUGAAUAGAACAGAUCACUUGUUUUCUUCACCAUA